Molecule: ribosomal RNA, 406 nt
Filed under: uncultured bacterium
Lineage: Bacteria
Description: partial 16S ribosomal RNA
Rfam family: Bacterial small subunit ribosomal RNA
Source: RNAcentral
AUUGAACGCUGGCGGCAGGCCUAACACAUGCAAGUCGAACGAGUGGCGGACGGGUGAGUAAUGCCUGGGCAACUGCCCGAUGGAGGGGGAUAACUACUGGAAACGGUAGCUAAUACCGCAUACCAUCGGAGGAGCCCAUAUGGGAUUAGCUAGUAGGUGGGGUAAUGGCUCACCUAGGCGACGAUCCCUAGCUGGUCUGAGAGGAUGACCAGCAACACUGGAACGGAGACACGGCCCAGACUCCUACGGGAGGCAGAAGUGGGGAAUAUUGCACAAUGGGGGAAAGCCGGAUGAAGCCAUGCCGCGGGUAUGAAGAAGGCCUUCGGGUUGUAAAGUACUUUCAGCGAGGCGGCGUUACCCGCAGAAGAAGCACCGGCUAACUCCGUGCCAGCAGCCGCGGUAAUUC